RNAcentral lists this long non-coding RNA (1660 nucleotides) under Apis dorsata (giant honeybee). Its description in RNAcentral is "uncharacterized LOC116186486, transcript variant X2". Lineage: Eukaryota; Metazoa; Arthropoda; Insecta; Hymenoptera; Apidae. The record is from RNAcentral.
AGAGACAACUGAUGGAAAGCAUACUGGGACAUACACAUACACGGACAGAAGCACAUCUACACACACCAGCUAAGAAACACUGCCAAUACGAUUGUAAUUAAGAACUCUAAGCUAAUUGGUCGAUUAAUUAUUCUUACUAUUAUUAUUACGAUUAACUGUAUAAUCCGAUAGAUCUCUAGUUGCCGCGGAUGCAUAAGUGGUUUACGAUGUGUCCUUUGUUGCUUCGGGCCCGUGCGUGCGUGAGCGAGUGCGUGAGUGAAAAAUUAUUCGUCACCGGAAUAACCGUAAUUAUAUAAAAAAAACUCUCGCUGGUUUCCUUUACGCAAAAAAAAGAAAAAAAAAAAAAAAAAAAAAAAAAAAAAAAAAGAAAAAAAAAAGUAUCAGCGCACGUGCCAACGGCAACGGGAUAUAUAUUCGCGGACGAGCGUAUAUGUAAAUAGUUAGUUGAAAUUAUCUGUAAAUCGCCUGAUGAUACGGGCCACUGCCUCUUCUUUUAGAAGGAUAUAAGAAGCUGCCUCGAAAGAGGGCAGCGCAUAGCCUAUUGUCAGCUUACACGAUUCCAAGCGAGAAGGAGAUUCACUUUUUUGAUCUUUUGAAUUCUCGUUUCGGAAGAGAGAGAGACACACACACACACACACAUAUAUAUAUAUAUACACAUAGACACACAUACACAUUAUUAUAUAUAUAUAUACAUACACAUACACACACACAUACACAUAUAUAUUAUAAUCAUCAUAGUUCGCUUCGGAAAAGACUGUCCGCAUUUAGUGUAUAGGAUCUAAUUAUUGUGUGAUUCUAUUUCAAGUAAGUGGAAAAAAAAAGAAAAAAAAAAGAAAAAAAAGAAAAAAAAAGAAAAAAGGAAUCGGAGUAGAGAUAUUCGAUGCUGUGAAUAAUAAAUUACCAGUUCUUUCAAUAUGAUUUAUUCUAACAUUCGUAUUUUUGUUUUUUUUUUUCUUCUUUUAAUCAAUUCGUCGAUUAUUCGUCGUACAGAGGUGACCGUUUUAUUUGAAAAAUAAAAAAAAAAACAUCAACAGAAAGACAAAGACGGAAAGAGAAAAGGACAUCAAAUUGUUCAGUUUCAAAUAUUGAUUUUUCGUGAAUACAUUUUUCUUCCUUUUUCUUUCUCUCCCCCCUUUCUUUUCCUAAGAGGGGAGAAAAAAAUUGUAUUUUUUCGCAAUACUAUUCUUCGUUUCCCACUACUAUUCCCUUUUAAUACCAUUUUUUCCCAUUUCUUUUUUUUUAUUAUAUAUACAUACAUACAUACAUAUAUAUAUAUAUUUAUAUUUAUAUAUAUAUAUAUAUGUAUCGAUCGUGUUUUUUUCCCCCGUGUUAGCAUUAGUAAAGUAUCCGCGUUAUUUUACGCAUUAAACAAUAAUAAAUGUAUAUUUUAACGAAACGUUGUAAAGUUUUACAUAAGGAAUAAUUAGGAUAUUCGUUAGGAUUGAAAACGAGAGGGGAGACUCGGGCUGAGGAACAGUUACGAGGCGUGUUUCAACUUGUGUUUCAAAACAGAUGUAUCGUUUGAAGAGUGUGUGCAUGUGGUAUUGUUCGCGAUCGUGGCUGUUCUCUCGGUUCUCUUCAACUUUGUACAUGUGUAAAACGUUUGCGAAAGACUGUGGGGGAGAGAGAGAGAGAGAAGAGAGAGAGAGAGAGAGAGAGA